RNAcentral lists this ribosomal RNA (815 nucleotides) under uncultured bacterium. RNAcentral's name for it is "bacterial SSU rRNA". It matches the Rfam family "Bacterial small subunit ribosomal RNA", at positions 65 to 893 of the family's 1533-position model. The record is from RNAcentral.
AACGAGCGAGAGAGAGCUUGCUUUCUUGAGCGAGUGGCGAACGGGUGAGUAACGCGUGAGGAACCUGCCUCAAAGAGGGGGACAACAGUUGGAAACGACUGCUAAUACCGCAUAAGCCCACAGGUCGGCAUCGACCAGAGGGAAAAGGAGCAAUCCGCUUUGAGAUGGCCUCGCGUCCGAUUAGCUAGUUGGUGAGGUAAUGGCCCACCAAGGCGACGAUCGGUAGCCGGACUGAGAGGUUGAACGGCCACAUUGGGACUGAGACACGACCCAGACUCCUACGGGAGGCAGCAGUGGGGAAUAUUGCACAAUGGGGGAAACCCUGAUGCAGCGACGCUGCGUGGAGGAAGAAGGUCUUCGGAUUGUAAACUCCUGUUGUUGAGGAAGAUAAUGACGGUACUCAACAAGGAAGUGGCGGCUAACUACGUGCCAGCAGCCGCGGUAAAACGUAGGUCACAAGCGUUGUCCGGAAUUACUGGGUGUAAAGGGAGCGCAGGCGGGAAGACAAGUUGGAAGUGAAAUCUAUGGGCUCAACCCAUAAACUGCUUUCAAAACUGUUUUUCUUGAGUAGUGCAGAGGUAGGCGGAAUUCCCGGUGUAGCGGUGGAAUGCGUAGAUAUCGGGAGGAACACCAGUGGCGAAGGCGGCCUACUGGGCACCAACUGACGCUGAGGCUCGAAAGUGUGGGUAGCAAACAGGAUUAGAUACCCUGGUAGUCCACACCGUAAACGAUGAUUACUAGGUGUUGGAGGAUCGACCCCUUCAGUGCCGCAGUUAACACAAUAAGUAAUCCACCUGGGGAGUACGACCGCAAGG